RNAcentral lists this transfer RNA (64 nucleotides) under Natrix natrix (European grass snake). RNAcentral describes it as "tRNA-Arg". Lineage: Eukaryota; Metazoa; Chordata; Lepidosauria; Squamata; Natricidae. The record is from RNAcentral.
ACUGUGGUAGUCUAACUAGACAUCUGAUUUCGACCCAGAAGAACUUAUACCCUAAGCCCCAGUA